AUUAAACGCUGGCGGCAUGCCUUACACAUGCAAGUCGAACGGCAGCACGGGGGCAACCCUGGUGGCGAGUGGCGGACGGGUGAGUAAAGCAUCGGAACGUAUCCUGGAGUGGGGGAUAACGGUAGCGAAAGUUACGCUAAUACCGCAUAUUCUGUGAGCAGGAAAGCAGGGGAUCGCAAGACCUUGCGCUCUGGGAGCGGCCGAUGUCGGAUUAGCUAGUUGGUGGGGUAAAGGCCUACCAAGGCGACGAUCCGUAGCGGGUCUGAGAGGAUGAUCCGCCACACUGGGACUGAGACACGGCCCAGACUCCUACGGGAGGCAGCAGUGGGGAAUUUUGGACAAUGGGCGGAAGCCUGAGUCCAGCCAUGCCGCGUGAGUGAAGAAGGCCU
RNAcentral lists this ribosomal RNA (389 nucleotides) under uncultured bacterium. Its description in RNAcentral is "bacterial SSU rRNA". It matches the Rfam family "Bacterial small subunit ribosomal RNA", at positions 29 to 417 of the family's 1533-position model. The record is from RNAcentral.